RNAcentral lists this ribosomal RNA (460 nucleotides) under uncultured bacterium. RNAcentral's name for it is "partial 16S ribosomal RNA". It matches the Rfam family "Bacterial small subunit ribosomal RNA", at positions 338 to 795 of the family's 1533-position model. The record is from RNAcentral.
CCUACGGGUGGCAGCAGUGAGGAAUAUUGGUCAAUGGGCGCGAGCCUGAACCAGCCACGUCGCGUGCGGGAUGAAGGUUCUAUGGAUCGUAAACCUCUUUUAUAAGGGAAUAAAGUGUGGGACGUGUCCUAUUUUGUAUGUACCUUAUGAAUAAUGAUCGGCUAACUCCGUGCCAGCAGCCGCGGUAAUACGGAGGAUCCGAGCGUUAUCCGGAUUUAUUGGGUUUAAAGGGUGCGUAGGCGGCCUUUUAAGUCAGCGGUGAAAGUCUGUGGCUCAACCAUAGAAUUGCCGUUGAAACUGGGGGGCUGGAGUAUGUUUGAGGCAGGCGGAAUGCGUGGUGUAGCGGUGAAAUGCUUAGAGAUCACGCAGAACACCGAUUGCGAAGGCAGCUUGCCAAGCCAUGACUGACGCUGAUGCACGAAAGCGUGGGGAGCAAACAGGAUUAGAUACCCUGGUAGUC